ACAGCCGCCGCGGGAGAGUAUCCGCCCUGAUGGGCGGAUCGCCGAAGGAGCAACUACUUCCUCAGAAUCUCUCAGGCCCACGUACCGCAGCGGUCAG
RNAcentral lists this non-coding RNA (97 nucleotides) under Actinoplanes regularis. Its description in RNAcentral is "Glycine sequence". It matches the Rfam family "Glycine riboswitch aptamer". Rfam says of the family: This family represents the bacterial glycine riboswitch. Glycine riboswitches usually consist of two metabolite-binding aptamers domains with similar structures in tandem. The aptamers cooperatively bind glycine to regulate the expression of downstream genes. Lineage: Bacteria; Bacillati; Actinomycetota; Actinomycetes; Micromonosporales; Micromonosporaceae. The record is from Rfam by way of RNAcentral.